GUUUAUGGGCAUAGCACGCUGGGCACACCUGAUCUCAGAAGCAAGCAGAGACAGGCCUAGUUAGAACUUGGAUGGGAGCUAAUAUGAUGUGCUCCAUGGGAUUAAUAAAGGCUGCUUUUCUUAAAUA
Ribosomal RNA from Pundamilia nyererei, 127 nucleotides. Lineage: Eukaryota; Metazoa; Chordata; Actinopteri; Cichliformes; Cichlidae. The record is from Ensembl.